AUGGGCAGAAGUCCUUGGCAUUUACGGCUAUUUUUAAACCAGCUAGUUUUCACCUGGAUUUCAAUGCUUUGCUUCAUCUGGGGAAAUAUGCUCACCUCAACUUUGGUACAGAUGACAGGCUUUAGUGUCUCAGUCACCACAUCAGUACAGGCAGUGCACCCUGCAUAUAUUCCAAUGUUGGAGUGCACUGGCACCAGUGACAUGGAACCCACACCCCAGAUGUCAUUUCAGUCUCAGAGGAUGUGGAGGCAGGAAGGGAAGGAAGGGUGCCAAAGAGCCUAAAUGAAUGUUUCAAUUAGCAAGAUUCCUUGCCAGCCAUGCAUAACUGAAACAGGAAAAGCACAAGGAAUAGUUUUCUUCUGUAACUUUGAGCGGCUUUCUGUUUAAUUGCUGUGACAAGUGAAUAAGGCUGAAUGAACAACUGAAACUUUUCUUUUUUUUUCUUUUUUCUAGGCAAGAAGGAGAGGACAGUAAACAAUUUAAGUAUCCAAACAUCUAGGAGUUCUCCUACUUCAUGCUAAGAGAGUAACACAUGUAGAUCUGUGUUGCUCUGUGUAGCUAUGAAGGGUCACGUCCUCCAGUUCUGAAGUAAUAUUCUCACAGGAAUGUAAGGGUGGUACAGAGAAACUGAUCCAUUAAUUAACUGCAUUUGCUUCCUGGUCAGGCAAAGCCUCUGUUUCAUAAGGGAAAUGCUAUGAACCGUUGGGAUGCUAAGGAAAAGAAAAAAAGAAAAAAAGAAAAAAAAAGUAGGAUGAUUUCUUCUUUGUAUCAGCAAGAGAGAGUUGGCCCCCAAAUGCUAAGGGGUGAUUCAAGGUUGGUAAGUUUUUGUACAACAGGCCUGUUUUCCAGAGAAAUCUCUGGUCAGUUUUUCAGAUUCAAUUACUCGAAGGAGUCUUCCAAACCUUUUGUCAUGAGAACAUUUUUCACUGAUAUAAAGGCAGACUGAUUCUGUCUGGGCAACGGAGCUUUGCUCUGAGAAGAUCAGGUAAGGCAGAAGUCAUUCUGACUCCACAGCAGUGAAAAAUGGUAACAUAAAUAAAUAAAUAAAUGGAAAUGAAAAAAUAAAUAUG
This is a long non-coding RNA of Anser brachyrhynchus (Pink-footed goose), 1070 nucleotides long. The record is from Ensembl. Lineage: Eukaryota; Metazoa; Chordata; Aves; Anseriformes; Anatidae.